AUGUACGCGCACCAACUGCUGCUGAUGCUUUACUGCGGCGCUCCACCGACGGUCCCGCGCUGCCCUGUCACCCGCACCUGCCAGCCUCUCCCAUCCGCCUGGCCAUGCUCGCCCGCGCCGCUCGAGCUUCCUGCACGUGCGCUCGCCGCAGCUGCCGACGCUGCCGCCGCCCCUGCUAGUCCUGCGCACGCCCGCCGGAACCCUUGCCGCCGCCUCCGCCUGCCACUAGAUCCGACAACGUGGCCCGGGCCGCAUCCGGCCGUGCGCGGCGUUGCCUGGCCGCCUCCGCGCCAUGCGGAUGACUGCUGCUGCUCUGAACGUACUACUGCUGCUGAAUGCUACUGUAUCUAUGAAUAG
This 357-nucleotide ribosomal RNA is filed under the name Triticum aestivum (bread wheat). RNAcentral's name for it is "partial small subunit ribosomal RNA". Lineage: Eukaryota; Viridiplantae; Streptophyta; Magnoliopsida; Poales; Poaceae. The record is from RNAcentral.